GACGAACGCUGGCGGCGUGCUUAACACAUGCAAGUCGAACGGCAAGGCCCUGCUUUUUUGCGGUGCUCGGUUGGCGAACGGGUGCGUAACACGUGUGUAACCUGCCCUUGACUUUCGGGUAACUUCAGGAAACUGGGGCUAAUACAGGAUAGGAGCUCCUGCUCCAUGGUGGGGGUUGGAAAUUUUCGGCGGUUGGGGAUGGACUCGCGGCUUAUCAGCUUGUUGGUGGGGUAGUGGCUUACCCAGGCUUUGACGGGUCGCCGGCAUGAGAGGGUGACCGGCCACAUUGGGACUGAGAGACGGCGCAGACUCCUAUGGGAGGCAGCAGGGGGGAACAUUGCACAAUGGGCGGAAGCCUGAUGCAGAAACGCUGCGGUCGUGAUGACGGUUUGUGGGUUGUAAACCGCUUCCGCCUGUGACGAAGCGUGAGUGACGGUAAUGGGUAAAGAAGCACCGGCUAACUACGUG
RNAcentral lists this ribosomal RNA (468 nucleotides) under uncultured bacterium. RNAcentral describes it as "partial 16S ribosomal RNA". It matches the Rfam family "Bacterial small subunit ribosomal RNA", at positions 28 to 507 of the family's 1533-position model. The record is from RNAcentral.